Long non-coding RNA from Telopea speciosissima, 154 nucleotides. RefSeq lists it as uncharacterized. The record is from RefSeq and is a predicted model, not a curated record. NCBI's taxonomy places the organism in Eukaryota, Viridiplantae, Streptophyta, Magnoliopsida, Proteales, Proteaceae. The transcript has 3 exons.
AAUCAUUUCCUAGAUGAACAACAAAUUGAAUUUCCAUAUCAUCCUUCCACAUGGCACGACGAGGUGUACUGUAAUGUAGAUUAAUCUUCCUUGAGAACCAUGAAUCAUCCAGUAAAACUUUUAUUAUUUUGACUAUUUCAUGGUUUGUGAACCA